UGGGGGAUAUUGCACAAUGGGCGAAAGCCUGAUGCAGCGACGCCGCGUGGGGGAUGAAGGCCUUCGGGUUGUAAACUUCUUUUGCUCUGAACAAGGCGCACCAUGGGGUGUGUUGAGUGUAGGGGUUGAUUAGCGCCGGCUAAAUACGUGCUAGCAGCCGCGGUAAUACGUAGGGCGCGAGCGUUGUCCGGAAUUAUUGGGCGUAAAGGGCUUGUAGGUGGCUGGUUGCGUCUGUCGUGAAAGCUCAUGGCUUAACUGUGGGUUUGCGUUACGUACGGGCUGGCUUGAGUUCAGUAGGGGAGGCUGGAAUUCCUGGUGUAGCGGUGGAAUGCGCAGAUAUCAGGAGGAAUACCGGUGGCGAAGUCGGGUCUCUAGUCUGUUACUGACACUGAGGAGCGAAAGCAUGGGGAGCGAACAGG
This 419-nucleotide ribosomal RNA is filed under the name bacterium. RNAcentral describes it as "partial 16S ribosomal RNA". It matches the Rfam family "Bacterial small subunit ribosomal RNA", at positions 355 to 776 of the family's 1533-position model. The record is from RNAcentral.